This 253-nucleotide ribosomal RNA is filed under the name uncultured bacterium. RNAcentral describes it as "partial 16S ribosomal RNA". It matches the Rfam family "Bacterial small subunit ribosomal RNA", at positions 524 to 776 of the family's 1533-position model. The record is from RNAcentral.
UACGGGGGGGGCAAGCGUUGUUCGGAAUCACUGGGCGUAAAGCGCACGUAGGCGGAUGUGUCAGUCAGGGGUGAAAUCCCGGAGCUCAACUUCGGAACUGCCUUUGAUACAGCACGUCUUGAGUCCGGAAGAGGUGGGUGGAAUUCCUAGUGUAGAGGUGAAAUUCGUAGAUAUUAGGAAGAACACCGGUGGCGAAGGCGGCUUCCUGGACCGACACUGACGCUGAGGCGCGAAAGCUAGGGGAGCAAACGGG